Molecule: ribosomal RNA, 253 nt
Filed under: uncultured bacterium
Lineage: Bacteria
Description: partial 16S ribosomal RNA
Rfam family: Bacterial small subunit ribosomal RNA
Source: RNAcentral
UACGGAGGGUGCAAGCGUUAUCCGGAUUCACUGGGGUUAAAGGGUGCGUAGGUGGGCAGGUAAGUCAGUGGUGAAAUCUCUGGGCUUAACCCGGAGACUGCCGUUGAUACUAUCUGUCUUGAAUAUAGUGGAGGUGAGCGGAAUAUGUCAUGUAGCGGUGAAAUGCUUAGAUAUGACAUAGAACAUCGAUUGCGAAGGCAGCUCGCUACACUAUGAUUGACACUGAGGCACGAAAGCGUGGGGAUCAAACAGG